RNAcentral lists this long non-coding RNA (378 nucleotides) under Anas platyrhynchos platyrhynchos (common mallard). RNAcentral describes it as "lncRNA (ENSAPLG00000022563.1)". Lineage: Eukaryota; Metazoa; Chordata; Aves; Anseriformes; Anatidae. The record is from RNAcentral.
CUGUGAAACAAGAAAGUCAUUUUGUCUACGCUUGUGUCUGUGAGAGGAGAAGAGCAAGAUGAGUUUUCCAAGUGAGUGUUAUCAGUUCUUUAGGAUUUUCUCUCCCUUGGAUACUAGGACCAUGAAGAAACCACCAUAGUGAUUCAACUUUCUCACUCUUAUCGAAAGGGGGUGGGGUGGAGAGAUGAGUCAUGAGUCACACCACAGGAAAACCUCCACAUUUCAGAGGCCGUUCCAGAAUGAAGAUGUUCAAGCAAUGCUGCAAUGAAGAUUAUGUAGGAUCCCUAACUCACCAACUGAAGCAUAUUGAGAACUGAUUAUUACUUCCCGGGUUUGCUGUCCUGCAGGUCCAGACAACUCUUACUGGCAUACUGAGUU